AGUGAACGCUGGCGGUAGGCCUAACACAUGCAAGUCGAACGGCAGCACAGUAAGAGCUUGCUCUUACGGGUGGCGAGUGGCGGACGGGUGAGGAAUACAUCGGAAUCUACUUUUUCGUGGGGGAUAACGUAGGGAAACUUACGCUAAUACCGCAUACGACCUACGGGUGAAAGCAGGGGAUCUUCGGACCUUGCGCGAUUGAAUGAGCCGAUGUCGGAUUAGCUAGUUGGCGGGGUAAAGGCCCACCAAGGCGACGAUUCGUAGCUGGUCUGAGAGGAUGAUCAGCCACACUGGAACUGAGACACGGUCCAGACUCCUACGGGAGGCAGCAGUGGGGAAUAUUGGACAAUGGGCGCAAGCCUGAUCCAGCCAUACCGCGUGGGUGAAGAAGGCCUUCGGGUUGUAAAGCCCUUUUGUUGGGAAAGAAAAGCAGCAGGUUAAUACCCCGCUGUUCUGACGGUACCCAAAGAAUAAGCACCGGUUAACUUCGUG
Molecule: ribosomal RNA, 492 nt
Filed under: uncultured bacterium
Lineage: Bacteria
Description: partial 16S ribosomal RNA
Rfam family: Bacterial small subunit ribosomal RNA
Source: RNAcentral